CACUGAAGACUUGACACCGGCGGAAUCGGACGUCCACUGUCUUUGGCAGAAUUACCCAGGUGUUAUCUUAUGCAAACGUGUUCGCCAUCAGAUGAUGCUGACCAUCCUGUCGAUGAGAAUGAGUCCGCAUCGCUGGAGGACCAGACUUAUUUCCGUUUCCAAACGGCCGGAGAGGCACAGUGUCGAGACAAUAACGCCCAGAAGUUAUUGAAAUGAAUCGAGCUGGCAGCAGAAGAAACAGGACGAACGCUAGCAGCGUUAGACUUCACCGCAGAGGGAAGGAAGGGAAACAGAAGAGCAAACAAUGAAAAGACCAGAGUGAUGAAAGAGAGGUCCAGACAUGAAGGAGGCACGCAUUCAAACACACACGUACAACGGCACCUAGAGUCUGUCUGCGGUCUACCACUACUCUGACUCACACGCACAUGCCUGAUACGGGCAGCAGAUAAAGAGGGAGACGUCAUUCCAGCUGUGAGGAGUCAGAAGUAGUCAACAUACACACACACACACACACACACACACACACACACACACACACACACACACACACACACACACACACACACACACACACACACAGCCGGAGGCGCGUGAGCAGGUGAGCAUUAAGUCAGGCAGCUAAACAGAUCACGUCGCGGUAUGAUAUCUGCAGACAGGCAGACAGAGGAGGCCGGUCUGUACCUGCAGGCAGAGAGCAACAACUCACAGCACCCUCGCCAGGAAUUUCCUCCCCCUCCUGAGUGGGAGUGAGAAAAAGAGCGAGAGAGAGAGAGAGACGGAGAAGGGGAGACAGACAUAAACUUGGGUUUCCACUGAAGGGUUUUUAUGCAAACCGAAUAGUUAAAGCCUAAUUUAAAAACUCACUAGCAAAUUUUCUUUCUUUUCUUACAUUUUUUUCCACAUACGUAAAACAGUUUAAAAAAACCCAGAGCUCAUAAACAUAUUGUAGACCUAAGAGGACAGUGGUAGAGUAGAGAAAGAAAUACUCCUACGUAGGCACAAAGUAGCACAAAGAUGUUCCCAACAUGCCUCCUCCUUGGGUCGCAUUUUUAGCCCAACAUUCUCCCUUCACAUCAGCUGAUGAAAGGACAUCCCUCAACAUUAAUAAAGAACAGCACAUUCACACGCUACUGUAAUAUCGAGUACAGAUGGUUCUUUUGUUACUUUGGAGUCAUUUGAUCACCUCCAGUAUAAUUUGUCAUUCUGGAAUUACUAAGGUGUUUUGACAGUGCUGUCACAGUGACGGUACUAAUUGUGUAACGUUGACAGUAUACGUUACACAAACUUGUUCUGCUAGCGUUAUUGUUAAUGCUCCUUGGAGCAGCUUUGACAUUUUUUUCUUUCAUUCACAAUCUGCUCAUCAUAUGCAGCCUUUGUCUGUGGCGUCGUGUAUCACAUUCAUAGUAAUUUCCCUUUGGGAGAUGCCCGUUGCCGUUUUGGCUUUCUACUGAGCAGCUUCACUGCAUCAACUGUGGCUUAUGUUGUUGCUCAAGACUAACUCAACAGUAGUGACUAAAUAAGAGGGCUAUCAGUGUGUGUGUGUGUGUGUGUGUGUGUGUCCUGCACAGAAGUGGUCCAGCAAUUUACUGCCCUUCUAAAGUCACAAACUUGCUUCUCUUCUCUUCCAUCUACCCUUGAAUUUAAAUAGUUUUACCCAUUAGGCAGACUGUUCAUGUUCUGUGAGCAUUAUUCCUUAGCUGAGGUUUUUUUCUUGUCUUAUUCAAAGCUCUUUUAUAUUAGCCUUUAUAUAGCCAUAAAAACGCCUCCUGAAAUUUGUACAAGUCACAUCUCUGGUUAAAUGUCAGAGCUGUCUGUGCCAUUAAGGCCAGCAUGUUUGAAGGAAGGACACCCUUGCCUGCCCUCCCUUCUCUGUCUCUUCUCAUUCUCCUCACUCUCUCCCUUCUCAUUCCUCUCUCCCCUUAGCUCCCUCGUCAUCUACCACCCCCCUCCAACUUCACCCAGGCUGGUUUGAGGGCUAAUGUGCAGACCUUGUCAUUCAGAUUAGGGCCACAAUGUCAGCUCAGAGCCGUUCUCUCUCUAGUUGCGUGUCUGGGUUUUUUUCUUUCCUACUGUCACCCUCGUCCUGCGGCCAGUGAAGACCUUAUAAAGCAGCAUUACUUCUCAUCCACUUCUGUCAAUUCCAACACUGUCACUCAAAUAACUGUUCGGGAGAGUGGAGAGAGGCCGAGUUAGCGGUGUCCCCACCAGCAAGGACUGUGCUUUUUGGCCCGAGUUUAGAUGACAUGUCAUCAGCUAGCAAACGGGAAUUUGAUUGAGGUAAUUUGAGGUUUUAGGUUUCUUUUGCUCACAAAUGACAAGCUUUUCAGAGGACUGAGAACUACACGGGGAAUGACAAAGUAGAAGCAGCUCUUGUGAUCCAAAGAAGAAGAGAAGCAGCACGAUAUUUGCUGUCAGGCGUGUAGUAGAAAUUCAAGUCUUGUUUUUAAAAGUCUUCAGUUAUUAACACUCAUUGUGUUUUGUUUAAUAGUAAAAACUAUCAGAGUCGCAGUGUUAUUCUUAACUUUUAGUUUUCUGUAUGAAAAUGAGCAUUUGGCAGGUCAUGAGAUAUCCACCACAUCAUCUUAGUCACUCUUCAUCCUGCUUUAAAGGAGUUCCAGCACCAUAUUUAUCAUCCGACCGUAUCUUGACUCACUGCCACGGUUUUAUUGUCAAGUCGUAUCUAAUUGCUCCAGCAGCUCUGUGGUAUUUGAUUGUUGUGCUUCUCAGAAACUGCCGCUUUUUUGUUUUCAUGGUAAUCAACAAUGAUUCAGCAGUGUGUAAUAAAACCUUAGUGCAAGAUGGUGGACAGUUUCCUUACUGGUAUCGGUGCUUCAUCCACAGUGCCACAUCAUAGCGGAACAACAGACACUGUUGAUCUGGGUGAGUCGACAGUUUCAUACCCGACGUCUUCCUCAUCCUCCACCUUGCACAAAGCCCUCAAGGCUCUCUGGUGCCUCUCUAGAGGUCACACUGUUGUGCUUUAACACAGCAUAUGGUGACUAGCUGCCUCCACCCAGGUGCUGUAUUUACUAAAAACCUGCUAUGAGUCAGGAGUUUCAAGAUGACUUCCCUCUUCUAACUGCUACUUGCAGUGAAGUUAAAUGUGUUCCCACACACUGGCACUGUCUUUGGUUUCAUAAUAACCAUGUGUCAUGGAAGGUAAUAGUGCAUACAGCACCCGGUGCUAUUUCCUUUAAGAAGAGGUGGGGCACUGCCAGUACUGCUUCUUUUUUACAAGGGCAGUGAUAGAGGAAAUAUAUUUAUUUAUUUAUUUUUAUCAGACUUUUUGUUCCUUCAUAUGAACCUUUUUUCAUUUCUUCUAUCCUCAGGUACAGUAUGUGAAUGGCUAACAUGAGGUGCAAAGAAUGAGGUCAAAAAGCAGAAUGAAGUAUUCAUGAAGUAUGCAUGUAUAAAUAUUUAUCAGAAGGUGUUGUGAAUUUAAAACUCUAAAAGUAAAACCACUUAUGUAAAAGAAUAAAGAUAAAGAAUAAUAUUUGUCCGUAGUUAUCUGAUAAGCCAUAGAUAUAGAAUAGUAUACAUCUGUAGUUAUCUGAUAAGUCUACAUGGAAAAGUAUGACUUUUACAGUGUCCUUCCCGCUCAGAGAAUGAAAGAGUGAUUUAGUGAGAGAGGGGGAGAAGUAAGAAGCCUCUCCGCCCACAGAAAAGACUUGCUCCCUCUGCAUCUCUAAGCAGACUGUCAUCCCUGGUCACCAUCAGGUCUUUGCUCGCCCCAGUGAACAUUCAACGCUGUCGGUGAGUUUCUGCCAAGCUAAGAAAACCAUCGACCGUUGAUUGUACCCUGUGGCCAGCCCUUUUGUCACUCAGUGUUUCAAAGAAAAAGAAGGAAAAAGAGGUAAGACACGAGCAGAAACCUGCACACAGGCAUGGCCAAUGACUUCUCGAAAAAAUCCCAUGAAGAAGACUGCAUCCAGCGAAAAAGUACUUUCAGCUUCCAAAGCACAGCAAAGGUCACAAUCAACAUUCAUUGCUGUCGGUGGGUUUAACUGUGUGGAAGAGCUCACUGAACGAUGAAUGCAACUGUGUCCCAGAUCUCAUCCGAAUGUCACAAGGAAUAGCGUCACGAUAUGCUGAUGAUGGCAUUAUUUAUUUCUCCGCCUGACACCCCCCCCCCCCCUCGCCCUCCUACCGACAACAGGCCCACACAGGCAGUGUGAAUUGACAGGCAGUUCAGAUUGUAUCUAGAUCGCGCUUCCUGAGUCGUAGGGGUCUGAGUCUAGUUAAACAAGAGGAGGUAGAAGAAAAAACAUGCAAGAGAUGGUUGGAAGACAAUGACCUUUAAAAGAAAUAUAGACAGAGAGAAUAUGGGGUGCGUUGCAUCUAGGUUAUUAUAAAUGAUUUAGUUGUUGUAAAUAUUACAUGAAAGAAAAUGUUGAAUAUGAAUAGAUGCAUUUGAAAAUGACGUGACCUUUUUGGGAUUUAAAAAAAAAAGUCAUAUGAACAAUUUUCCGGAUAAGACCAUCGGCUAAACUCACAUUUAAAUCUAGAUGUCAGUUUUUCCUUUUUUUUUUUAUUUCAGUCUGUUUAAGACAGAUACUUUGAUGGCCUUCAAGUGGUAAAAAUAUCAUUUUACCAUCAGCUGUUUAUAUAAUGUGAAAUAAAAUAUGAACUUGCUUUUCAUUCAUGUUUUUUCUGUAGUUAUCUCAGAAGCUUAAUUUUGUGUUUGUGCAUGCUAUUUGGUUUGUUGUAUUUUAUCAAAUAAAGUCACAAGUCCAGCGCUCAA
Molecule: long non-coding RNA, 4741 nt
Organism: Cottoperca gobio
Lineage: Eukaryota; Metazoa; Chordata; Actinopteri; Perciformes; Bovichtidae
Exons: 4
Source: RefSeq, a predicted model, not a curated record